This 469-nucleotide ribosomal RNA is filed under the name uncultured bacterium. Its description in RNAcentral is "partial 16S ribosomal RNA". It matches the Rfam family "Bacterial small subunit ribosomal RNA", at positions 28 to 507 of the family's 1533-position model. The record is from RNAcentral.
GACGAACGCUGGCGGCGUGCUUAACACAUGCAAGUCGAACGGAAAGGCCCUGCUUGCAGGGUGCUCGAGUGGCGAACGGGUGAGUAACACGUGGGUGAUCUGCCCCUUACUUUGGGAUAAGCCUGGGAAACUGGGUCUAAUACUGGAUAGGACCAUGCUGUAGGUGGUGUGGUGGAAAGAUUAGUUUCGGUAAGGGAUGAGCUCGCGGCCUAUCAGCUUGUUGGUGGGGUAAUGGCCUACCAAGGCGUCGACGGGUAGCCGGCCUGAGAGGGUGGACGGCCACAUUGGGACUGAGAUACGGCCCAGACUCCUACGGGAGGCAGCAGUGGGGAAUAGUGCACAAUGGGCGCAAGCCUGAUGCAGCGACGCCGCGUGGGGGAUGACGGCCUUCGGGUUGUAAACUCCUUUCAGCCAUGACGAAGCCCUUGUGGUGACGGUAGCGGUAGAAGAAGCACCGGCUAACUACGUG